GAUGAACGCUGGCGGCGUGCUUAACACAUGCAAGUCGAACGUGAGGGGGUAGCAAUAUCCUUGAAAGUGGCGCACGGGUGAGUAAUACGUAGGUAACCUGCCCUGGAGUGGGGGAUAACAGCUAGAAAUGGCUGCUAAUACCGCAUGAGGCCGAGACACUGGGAAGUGUUUUGGCGAAAACUCUGGUGCUUCAGGAGGGGCCUGCGGCCGAUUAGCUAGUUGGCGGGGUAAGAGCCCACCAAGGCAGUGAUCGGUAGCUGGUCUGAGAGGAUGAUCCGCCACACUGGAACUGAGACACGGUCCAGACUCCUACGGGAGGCAGCAGUGGGGGAAUUUUUGGACAAUGGGGGCAACCCUGAUCCAGCCAUGCCGCGUGAGUGAAGAAGGCCUCGGGUUGUUAAAGGCUCUUUCGGCCGGGAAGGAAUACGUAUGGGUUAAGUACCUGUGCGGAUGACGGUACGGCGAUAAGAAGCGACCGGCUAACUACGUG
Molecule: ribosomal RNA, 490 nt
Filed under: uncultured bacterium
Lineage: Bacteria
Description: bacterial SSU rRNA
Rfam family: Bacterial small subunit ribosomal RNA
Source: RNAcentral